Molecule: long non-coding RNA, 488 nt
Organism: Cyprinus carpio (common carp)
Lineage: Eukaryota; Metazoa; Chordata; Actinopteri; Cypriniformes; Cyprinidae
Exons: 2
Source: RefSeq, a predicted model, not a curated record
CCACAUUACCAGCAAUAGUUAAGUGUAAUAUUCUGCCUAUUUAAGCAUUUGAGAUGUUUUACUACAAAGUUUGUGCAUUUCACCUGAGGACUAAGAUGGAGGCCUGUGGGGCGUUCAAGUAUAUUAUCACUGUAUGAUGGAAAUGAUCGCCUUCACUUGAAUUUCCUGCUUGCUCAGUCCAGUCUCUACUGCCACAUCGCAGGACAGGAAAAACAACAGGGAGAUACUCCAUCUGCACAGUGGGAAAAAACUUCUAACUGUGCAAUUCUAUCUUACUUUCUUAUGUUUAUCCUGUGUGAUGUGGAUUAUGAGAUCUGUUCUGUCGCUUAUUCAGAAAGCUAUUUAUUUAUUUUUUUACUUUGAAUCAGCCACAGAAAGCACCAUGUAAAAAUAAGCUCAUGUAAAUCUAUUUUUUUACAGUGUAAAUUAACUUGAAGCAUAUUUGUCUGCUCAUGUGACAAAGGCUAUUAAAACAAUUAAUACUCAUA